UGGGGAAUCUUGGACAAUGGGCGCAAGCCUGAUCCAGCCAUGCCGCGUGAGUGAUGAAGGCCUUAGGGUUGUAAAACUCUUUCGUCGGGGACGCGGUACCCGAAGAAGAAGCCCCGGCUAACUUCGUGCCAGCAGCCGCGGUAAUACGAAGGGGGCUAGCGUUGUUCGGAUUUACUGGGCGUAAAGCGCGUGUAGGCGGGUCGUUAAGUUGGGGUGAAAUCCCGGAGCUCAACUCCGGAACUGCCUUCAAAACUGGCGACCUGGACUCAAGUAGAGGCAAGUGGAAUUGCGAGUGUAGAGGUGAAAUUCGUAGAUAUUCGCAGGAACACCAGUGGCGAAGGCGACUUGCUGGACUUGUAGUGACGCUGAGACGCGAAAGCGUGGGGAGCAAACAGGAUUAGAUACCCCAGUAGU
RNAcentral lists this ribosomal RNA (414 nucleotides) under uncultured bacterium. RNAcentral's name for it is "bacterial SSU rRNA". It matches the Rfam family "Bacterial small subunit ribosomal RNA", at positions 355 to 794 of the family's 1533-position model. The record is from RNAcentral.